CACGUAGGGCGCAAGCGUUGUCCGGAAUUAUUGGGCGUAAAGAGCUCGUAGGCGGUCUGUUGCGUCCGCUGUGAAAACUCGGGGCUUAACCCCGAGCCUGCAGUGGAUACGGGCAGACUAGAGUGCGGUAGGGGAGAUUGGAAUUCCUGGUGUAGCGGUGGAAUGCGCAGAUAUCAGGAGGAACACCAGUGGCGAAGGCGGCUCUCUGGGCCUUUCCUGACGCUGAGACGCGAAAGCGUGGGGAGCGAACCGG
This 253-nucleotide ribosomal RNA is filed under the name uncultured bacterium. RNAcentral describes it as "partial 16S ribosomal RNA". It matches the Rfam family "Bacterial small subunit ribosomal RNA", at positions 524 to 776 of the family's 1533-position model. The record is from RNAcentral.